GCCAGAUGCGGUGGCACGCGCCUGUAGUCCCAGCUACUCGGGAGGCUGAGACAGGAGGAUCGCUUGAGCCCAGGAGUUCUGGGCUGUAGUGUGCUAUGCGAUUGGGUGUCCGCACUAAGUUCAGCAUCAAUAUGGUGACCUCCCUGGAGCGGGGGACCACUAGGUUGCCUAAGGAGGGGUGAACCGGCCCAGGUUGGCAAUGGAGCAGGUCAAAACUCCUGUGCUGAUUAGUAGUGGGAUCGCGCCUGUGAAUAGCCACUGCACUCCAGCCUGGGCAUCAUAGCGAGACCCCAUCUCU
Molecule: signal recognition particle RNA, 298 nt
Filed under: Propithecus coquereli (Coquerel's sifaka)
Lineage: Eukaryota; Metazoa; Chordata; Mammalia; Primates; Indriidae
Description: Metazoan signal recognition particle RNA (ENSPCOG00000001651.1)
Rfam family: Metazoan signal recognition particle RNA
About the family: The signal recognition particle (SRP) is a universally conserved ribonucleoprotein. It is involved in the co-translational targeting of proteins to membranes.
Source: RNAcentral